GUUUGUUUCUUGUUAAAUCACAUUCGAGUUGUACAUCAUGUUUUAGCAUUCUUAUUAAAACACUUUGACAAUUCAGAACUAACGAUAACAAGACUCACGAAAAGGAAACAUUCGAUACGCGAUUCAAAUAAUAUUUCUUGUAUUUCUUUCAUACGUCAGCCAGGGCACCAGGUGAAUUCGGGAGCAAGAAAUUUCUCUUGAUUUUCAACGGGCGUAAUUAAGCGCGCGCGCCACGCCGAGCUGACGCGACACGGACAAUAGAUGAGCCAGGCGGGUAGCCUUAAUUAAAUGGUAAAGGCGGCCGAUUAGUUGGCAAACUCGCGAUAGUGGAAAUUUAUUAUAUCCAAUGCAACCCGCGGGGUCUCACGUGCGCGCUCCUCCACCGUCUUUCGUGCCGUCGUUACCACACCCCGUUGCCCAUCUUCCGUACAACCAGGCUGGCGAAUCGGGGGUUGGUUUGUCGCGCAUAAAUCCUGCCGCUCUCCAGAUGGGAUACACGCCGUCGCGCGACGAUCAGAUAGAUGCUUAAUGCAAUUAUACGCCUCGGAAGGAGCACCGAGACCGAUACCAGUUUUCAUGAGAUUGCUGCACGUGACCAAGCUUGUAUGCUUCGUCGCGCGGAUCAACGAAGCGUAAUUACUAAUUUCCCGUUGUCCUGUGAAAGAACGACGUGCGGUUUUGAAUCUUUUGGAGACGCGGGCUAUUGAGAAAGAGAGGAUUAUAAAUUAAAUUGUCUUUGUCUUUCUCGGAAGAAAAGCCGAGUGUUGAGGAAAGGAUAUACAUAUAUUAUAAAUCAUCACGGUACGUCGACCGGGGGGAAGAACGAAGAUCAAUUCGGGCACUUCUCGCGCAGACGGCUGAUUAUUCGCAUCCUGAUUAUCGAACCUAACCAGGGAACACAAGCCUACCCGCCGCAAACAGGCCCGUCCGUGUUUGCGCUGUGUCGGCCAAAACUGUGUGGUCACGAUGGAACGUAGAAAGUGUCUCGUUCACCACACGAAGUGGUACGGAUGCUGCGCAUCACGUCGAGUCGGUGGACGAGUCGAUCUCUAUUUCGUCUAAUUCGUUUAGCGAAGAAUUUAGAAGUCUAUGAUCUUUUUAAAGAAUUGAUUAGACUCUCUCUGGAGACCGGUCUAAAUCGAUCGGCGCUCCUCGGCUUCAUUAUCAUACUCUGUAUUAGCGCCCAAGUGAGUCGGACGCACCAGAAUUCGCUCGUCAAAGAUAUACUGCCGCAUAUACGGGAUCGCGCCGCGCACAUAUUUGCAGAUUAAUCUGAAUCCAAUUCUCUCGGAUUUUCGCGAAGAAGCGCCCCCGACCACGCUGUUGCACCGAACUCCACGAUUAUGCGCAAUCGAUAAGGGAGGAGGGGGGAAGGGGUGGGUGAUAUAUUCGCAUAUUUCGGCGUAUAUCCCGGCGCACCUCGACGAAUUCUGCUGUUCUAUCUCGACGUGCUUGGCGCGCUCCGCGUUACUCUGGUUUACUCCGACAUAUUCUCUCUCUCUCUCUCUCUCUCUCUCCCUUCGUCUCCCUCUCCCCCCCCCCCUCUCUCUGUCCCUACGACGUAAUCAAUAUAUCGUGUUGCUGAGACCUUCUCGGCGUCGUCGGCAGGUAGGUUUAGGCAUGGCUUUUCAGGUAUAGCCAGACACACCAACAGACGCACCAACCCUGGAUAGAUAUGUAUCGCGCACCCGUGUGCACACACCCCGGUAUCUCCGUGCUAAUUAAUAUCUCGGACACGGCAUCUCCCGCCGCGCGAGAU
RNAcentral lists this long non-coding RNA (1759 nucleotides) under Acromyrmex echinatior (Panamanian leafcutter ant). RNAcentral describes it as "uncharacterized LOC105146102". The record is from RNAcentral. Lineage: Eukaryota; Metazoa; Arthropoda; Insecta; Hymenoptera; Formicidae.